RNAcentral lists this ribosomal RNA (250 nucleotides) under uncultured bacterium. RNAcentral describes it as "partial 16S ribosomal RNA". It matches the Rfam family "Bacterial small subunit ribosomal RNA", at positions 111 to 354 of the family's 1533-position model. The record is from RNAcentral.
UAACACGUGAGUGACCUGCCUUUUAGACUGGAACAACUUACCGAAAGGUGAGCUAAUGCCGGAUGAGUUAUAUAAGUGCAUGUUUAUAUAGGAAAAGUUGGGGAGACCUGACGCUGAAAGAUGGACUCGCGUCCCAUUAGCUAGUUGGUAGGGUAAUGGCCUACCAAGGCGACGAUCAGUAGCCGGCCUGAGAGGGUGAACGGCCACAUUGGGACUGAGACACGGCCCAGACUCCUACGGGAGGCAGCAG